This 1372-nucleotide ribosomal RNA is filed under the name uncultured bacterium. Its description in RNAcentral is "bacterial SSU rRNA". It matches the Rfam family "Bacterial small subunit ribosomal RNA", at positions 28 to 1381 of the family's 1533-position model. The record is from RNAcentral.
GAUGAACGCUGGCGGCGUGCCUAAUACAUGCAAGUCGAGCGAACGGACGAGAAGCUUGCUUCUCUGAUGUUAGCGGCGGACGGGUGAGUAACACGUGGAUAACCUACCUAUAAGACUGGGAUAACUUCGGGAAACCGGAGCUAAUACCGGAUAAUAUUUUGAACCGCAUGGUUCAAAAGUGAAAGACGGUCUUGCUGUCACUUAUAGAUGGAUCCGCGCUGCAUUAGCUAGUUGGUAAGGUAACGGCUUACCAAGGCAACGAUGCAUAGCCGACCUGAGAGGGUGAUCGGCCACACUGGAACUGAGACACGGUCCAGACUCCUACGGGAGGCAGCAGUAGGGAAUCUUCCGCAAUGGGCGAAAGCCUGACGGAGCAACGCCGCGUGAGUGAUGAAGGUCUUCGGAUCGUAAAACUCUGUUAUUAGGGAAGAACAUAUGUGUAAGUAACUGUGCACAUCUUGACGGUACCUAAUUAGAAAGCCACGGCUAACUACGUGCCAGCAGCCGCGGUAAUACGUAGGUGGCAAGCGUUAUCCGGAAUUAUUGGGCGUAAAGCGCGCGUAGGCGGUUUUUUAAGUCUGAUGUGAAAGCCCACGGCUCAACCGUGGAGGGUCAUUGGAAACUGGAAAACUUGAGUGCAGAAGAGGAAAGUGGAAUUCCAUGUGUAGCGGUGAAAUGCGCAGAGAUAUGGAGGAACACCAGUGGCGAAGGCGACUUUCUGGUCUGUAACUGACGCUGAUGUGCGAAAGCGUGGGGAUCAAACAGGAUUAGAUACCCUGGUAGUCCACGCCGUAAACGAUGAGUGCUAAGUGUUAGGGGGUUUCCGCCCCUUAGUGCUGCAGCUAACGCAUUAAGCACUCCGCCUGGGGAGUACGACCGCAAGGUUGAAACUCAAAGGAAUUGACGGGGACCCGCACAAGCGGUGGAGCAUGUGGUUUAAUUCGAAGCAACGCGAAGAACCUUACCAAAUCUUGACAUCCUUUGACAACUCUAGAGAUAGAGCUUUCCCCUUCGGGGGACAAAGUGACAGGUGGUGCAUGGUUGUCGUCAGCUCGUGUCGUGAGAUGUUGGGUUAAGUCCCGCAACGAGCGCAACCCUUAAGCUUAGUUGCCAUCAUUAAGUUGGGCACUCUAAGUUGACUGCCGGUGACAAACCGGAGGAAGGUGGGGAUGACGUCAAAUCAUCAUGCCCCUUAUGAUUUGGGCUACACACGUGCUACAAUGGACAAUACAAAGGGCAGCGAAACCGCGAGGUCAAGCAAAUCCCAUAAAGUUGUUCUCAGUUCGGAUUGUAGUCUGCAACUCGACUACAUGAAGCUGGAAUCGCUAGUAAUCGUAGAUCAGCAUGCUACGGUGAAUACGUUCCCGGGUCU